GGGUUGUUAGCUCAGUUGGUAGAGCAGCCGCCUCUUAAGCGGAAGCGCGUAGGUUCGAAGCCUACACAGCCCAUCA
RNAcentral lists this transfer RNA (76 nucleotides) under Acaryochloris marina MBIC11017. RNAcentral's name for it is "tRNA-Lys". It matches the Rfam family "tRNA". From Rfam's summary of the family: Transfer RNA (tRNA) molecules are approximately 80 nucleotides in length. Their secondary structure includes four short double-helical elements and three loops (D, anti-codon, and T loops). Lineage: Bacteria; Bacillati; Cyanobacteriota; Cyanophyceae; Acaryochloridales; Acaryochloridaceae. The record is from RNAcentral.